CGGACGGGUGAGUAAUGUCUGGGAAACGUGCCUGAUGAGGGGGAGUAACUACUGGAAACGGUAGCUAAUACCGCAUAACGUCGCAAGACCAAAGAGGGGGACCGUUAGGGCCUCUUGCCAUCGGAUGUGCCCAGAUGGGAUUAGCUAGUAGGUGGGGUAACGGCUCACCUAGGCGACGAUCCCUAGCUGGUCUGAGAGGAUGACCAGCCACACUGGAACUGAGACACGGUCCAG
This 234-nucleotide ribosomal RNA is filed under the name uncultured bacterium. Its description in RNAcentral is "partial 16S ribosomal RNA". It matches the Rfam family "Bacterial small subunit ribosomal RNA", at positions 99 to 334 of the family's 1533-position model. The record is from RNAcentral.